RNAcentral lists this ribosomal RNA (460 nucleotides) under uncultured bacterium. Its description in RNAcentral is "partial 16S ribosomal RNA". It matches the Rfam family "Bacterial small subunit ribosomal RNA", at positions 338 to 795 of the family's 1533-position model. The record is from RNAcentral.
CCUACGGGAGGCAGCCGUGAGGAAUAUUGGUCAAUGGUCGCGAGCCUGAACCAGCCAAGUAGCGUGAAGGAUGACGGCCCUACGGGUUGUAAACUUCUUUUAUCCAGGAAUAAAGUGAGGCACGUGUGCCUUUUUGUAUGUACUUUAUGAAUAAGGAUCGGCUAACUCCGUGCCAGCAGCCGCGGUAAUACGGAGGAUCCGAGCGUUAUCCGGAUUUAUUGGGUUUAAAGGGAGCGUAGACGGGGUGUUAAGUUAGUCGUGAAAGUCCGGGGCUCAACCGUAACACUGCUGUUGAUACUGGCAGGCUUGAGUGCAGGUGAGGUAGGCGGAAGUCGUGGUGUAGCGGUGAAAUGCUUAGAUAUCACGAAGAACUCCGAUUGCGAAGGCAGCAUACGAAAGCGCCACUGACGUUGAUGCUCGAAAGUGCGGGUAUCGAACAGGAUUAGAUACCCUAGUAGUC